CUGGCGGCAUGCCUAAGACAUGCAAGUCGAACGAGGUGGCCCAGAGAUAUUAUUGAGAAUUGAAGUGCUUGCACGGAUAUAGGAUUAUUAGAUCUGGAUUUCCACCUAGUGGCAAACGGGUGAGUAACACGUGGGUUACCUGCCUCUAAGCUGGGGAUAACAGUUGGAAACGACUGAUAAUACCGAAUGUGCUCUACGGAGUAAAGAAGCCCUUAAAGCUUCACUUAGAGAUGGGCCUGCGGCGUAUUAGCUUGUUGGUGGGGUAACGGCCUACCAAGGCGACGAUGCGUAGCCGAACUGAGAGGUUAAUCGGCCACACUGGGACUGAGACACGGCCCAGACUCCUACGGGAGACAGCAGUUAGGAAUAUUCGUCAAUGGGGGAAACCCUGAACGAGCAAUGCCGCGUGAACGAAUGAAGGCCCUAUGGGUUGUAAAGUUCUGUUGUUUGGAAAGAACUGUAAGAUUAGGAAAUGAAUCUUACUUGACGGUACCAUUCAAGAAAGCCACGGCUAACUACGUGCCAGCCGCUGC
Molecule: ribosomal RNA, 533 nt
Filed under: uncultured bacterium
Lineage: Bacteria
Description: bacterial SSU rRNA
Rfam family: Bacterial small subunit ribosomal RNA
Source: RNAcentral